CCUACGGGGGGCAGCAGUGAGGAAUCUUGGUCAAUGGCCGGAAGGCUGAACCAGCCAAGCCGCGUGAAGGACGAAGGUGCCAAGCAUUGUAAACUUCUUUUGUCAAGGGACAAAAUCAGGCUCGAGAGCCUGACCGAGGGUACUUGAAGAAAAAGCAUCGGCUAACUCCGUGCCAGCAGCCGCGGUAAUACGGAGGAUGCGAGCGUUAUCCGGAUUUAUUGGGUUUAAGGGGUGCGUAGGCGGACUGUUAAGUCAGCGGUAAAAGUCCGGGGCUCAACCCCGGCGAGCCGUUGAAACUGGCUGUCUUGAGAUGUCGAGAGGUAUGCGGAAUGCGCAGUGUAGCGGUGAAAUGCUUAGAUAUUGCGCAGAACUCCGAUUGCGAAGGCAGCAUACCGGCGGCGAUCUGACGCUGAGGCACGAAAGCGUGGGUAUCGAACAGGAUUAGAUACCCUGGUAGUC
Molecule: ribosomal RNA, 459 nt
Filed under: uncultured bacterium
Lineage: Bacteria
Description: partial 16S ribosomal RNA
Rfam family: Bacterial small subunit ribosomal RNA
Source: RNAcentral